AGUGAACGCUGGCGGUAGGCCUAACACAUGCAAGUCGAACGGCAGCACAGUAAGAGCUUGCUCUUACGGGUGGCGAGUGGCGGACGGGUGAGGAAUACAUCGGAAUCUACUUUUUCGUGGGGGAUAACGUAGGGAAACUUAUGCUAAUACCGCAUACGACCUACGGGUGAAAGCAGGGGAUCUUCGGACCUUGCGCGAUUGAAUGAGCCGAUGUCAGAUUAGCUAGUUGGCGGGGUAAAGGCCCACCAAGGCGACGAUCCGUAGCUGGUCUGAGAGGAUGAUCAGCCACACUGGAACUGAGACACGGUCCAGACUCCUACGGGAGGCAGCAGUGGGGAAUAUUGGACAAUGGGCGCAAGCCUGAUCCAGCCAUACCGCGUGGGUGAAGAAGGCCUUCGGGUUGUAAAGCCCUUUUGUUGGGAAAGAAAAGCAGCAGGUUAAUACCCCGCUGUUCUGACGGUACCCAAAGAAUAAGCACCGGCUAACUUCGUG
This 492-nucleotide ribosomal RNA is filed under the name uncultured bacterium. RNAcentral's name for it is "partial 16S ribosomal RNA". It matches the Rfam family "Bacterial small subunit ribosomal RNA", at positions 29 to 507 of the family's 1533-position model. The record is from RNAcentral.